GAUGAACGCUGGCGGCGUGCCUAAUACAUGCAAGUCGAGCGAACAGACGAGGAGCUUGCUCCUCUGACGUUAGCGGCGGACGGGUGAGUAACACGUGGAUAACCUACCUAUAAGACUGGGAUAACUUCGGGAAACCGGAGCUAAUACCGGAUAAUAUAUUGAACCGCAUGGUUCAAUAGUGAAAGACGGUUUUGCUGUCACUUAUAGAUGGAUCCGCGCCGCAUUAGCUAGUUGGUAAGGUAACGGCUUACCAAGGCAACGAUGCGUAGCCGACCUGAGAGGGUGAUCGGCCACACUGGAACUGAGACACGGUCCAGACGCCUACGGGAGGCAGCAGUAGGGAAUCUUCCGCAAUGGGCGAAAGCUUGACGGAGCAAAGCCGCGUGAGUGAUGAAGGUCUUCGGAUCGUAAAACUCUGUUAUUAGGGAAGAACAAAUGUGUAAGUAACUAUGCACGUCUUGACGGUACCUAAUCAGAAAGCAACGGCUAACUACGUG
Molecule: ribosomal RNA, 497 nt
Filed under: uncultured bacterium
Lineage: Bacteria
Description: partial 16S ribosomal RNA
Rfam family: Bacterial small subunit ribosomal RNA
Source: RNAcentral